Molecule: non-coding RNA, 540 nt
Organism: Tachyglossus aculeatus (Australian echidna)
Lineage: Eukaryota; Metazoa; Chordata; Mammalia; Monotremata; Tachyglossidae
Source: the annotation of a RefSeq genome assembly
CCCCAGUCUGGCCCCAACUCUGCCAUGGGGCCCGGGCCAGUGUGGUUAGUGGCCGUUUGUAUUCUGGGAGCAGGUCCUACAGAUGCCGAAGUCACCCAGACCCCCAGACACCUGGUCACCAGCCGGAGACAGAAUGUGAGACUGAGCUGUGAGCAUGACCGGAGCCACACUGCCAUGUAUUGGUACCGGCAGAACCCGGGGCAAGGACCAAGCUUCAUGUUUUACUUGCAGUCUCAGAGAGUUACGGAAAACGCGACAGUCCCACAUCGCUUCCAACCGCAUUGUCAGAAGGCUGGUGACUGCACCCUAGACAUCGGGACCACAGAGCUGGGCGACUCCUCGGUGUUCCUGUGUGCAAGUAGUAUAGACACAGCGCUACAGCCUCCCCACUUCUCUGCACACAAACCCUCCCCUCUCUGACACCAGCACACGGAGAGAGAGAUGUCCCUGUCCCAAAGGCCCUUGUGAUGGGUGUUGGGGGCAGGAGCAGACAGGUGUUGUGGGAGGAAGCAAGCUGCCCACCAGAAGCAGAUAAACUCC